CGGCAACAGCUCAAAUCUGAAAUCUGGCUCUCGGGCCCGAGUUGUAAUUUGUAGAGGAUGCUUUUGAUGCGGUGCCUUCCGAGUUCCCUGGAACAGGACGUCAUAGAGGGUGAGAAUCCCGUAUGUGACUGGCUGCCUUCGCCUAUGUGAAGCUCUUUCGAC
RNAcentral lists this ribosomal RNA (162 nucleotides) under Helotiales sp. Its description in RNAcentral is "partial large subunit ribosomal RNA". Lineage: Eukaryota; Fungi; Ascomycota; Leotiomycetes; Helotiales. The record is from RNAcentral.